ACUACCUGCCAUACAGCCUCCCGGAACGCCUGUGCUUCUCUGGCGUGGAAAGGGUCCUGGCGCGUCCGACAUGAAGGUGUGGGCCGUGCUAGUGGUGCUGAUAGCCUCCCUGGUGGUGGUAUCGAGGGCCUUGGUGCUGUGUCCUCAGUUCCCGUCCUGCUGCUACCCCUACGACACCUGCCACAUGCUCUGUCCAUCGUGUAAAGAGGCUCGCUUCUUCGUCCGCGGCGUGAGGAGGUUCCCCAAGUACAGACGGAAGAAGCCUUGCCAAGUCGGUGGGACGCUCCUCAACCCAGAUCCCUACGCCUUCCCCGAUGUCAUUCCCUUUCCGAACCCUCCCAUCUGUCUGUAAGAGUAAACGUCAUCGCCACUGCACUUUCAUUCCUUCACGUCAUGCAAGGUCACCGUGAAUCAUCUUUGCAGUGACGUCAGGAUACCGAUCUUAACUUAGUUUCUUCAUACGUUUCGUCAAUGCAUGAAACGAAAAGAAAAAUGUUCGUGUGAGUGUGUUAAUUCUUGUAUAUUCUCAA
Long non-coding RNA from Scylla paramamosain (green mud crab), 530 nucleotides. RefSeq lists it as uncharacterized. The transcript is spliced from 2 exons. The record is from RefSeq and is a predicted model, not a curated record. Lineage: Eukaryota; Metazoa; Arthropoda; Malacostraca; Decapoda; Portunidae.